UUACUUUUACUUUUAGUUUCCACAUUCAUUUCCUAUACAUUCCCACUAUAUAUAUACCUAUAACCUAAUAUCCCUUUUCAAUUAGCUCACAACAACAAUUUCCAAACCAUCCCAAAGCUAAUCUUAACCUCAACUCAUCAACAGCAAGAUAUAAGCUAAUCUUGCAAUAUACUUCGCUUCCGUUCUCAUACAAAAACCAUAGCUUUUUCACUUUUCUUUUACUUUCACUUAUGUUGAAUCUACCACCACAAUAAUACUCUCCUCCUGUGUUGCUGGAACAGUGUGUUUAGCCGUGGAGAGGGCACACUGGCGGCGGUGUGUCAAACUCCCGUGUGCUUCUAUUUUGUUGAAGAUGAUAUUGUGGCAGAGAACCACACAUGUGUCAAACCCCGUGUUACCUCCACACCACUGCCUCCACCACUACACUUGCUGCUGCUCCGGCUAGCCGUCACAAAUGAUAUUGGAACUGUUAGUUCAUUAUAGUAUCACAUAUUACAUUAUAAUUUAUAAUAAUUAGAAUGUAAUAUGUGAUCCUAUAAUGAGGUCACAUCAUUAAUAAAGUAGUUUAUGAUCAAUCUCUUUUUUUUUUUGCUUUAAAAAAAUAAGAGCAUUCUAAGAACCAUUGUUUUUACUCUACUCAUGUUUUAUUUUCUUCAAAAUAUGAGAGUUGAGUUUACUACAGAGAAAUAUACUUGUUUGAGACCUCUGUGUGUCCGCCACACCACUGCCUCUACCAAUACAUUUGUUGCUGCUAUUCAUCCUACAAGUGGUGAUGAUAUUGUGGCAGAGAAACACACAUGUGUCAAACUUCCGUGUUACCUCCACACCACUGUCUUCACCACUAGAUUUGCUGCUGCUCAUGCCAACCGUCACAAAUGAUAUUGGAACUGCUAGUUCAUUAUAGGAUCACAUAUUACAUCAUCAUUUAUAAUAAUUAUAAUGUAAUAUCAUCAUUAAUAAAGCAGUUUAUGAUCUA
Molecule: long non-coding RNA, 976 nt
Organism: Lathyrus oleraceus (garden pea)
Lineage: Eukaryota; Viridiplantae; Streptophyta; Magnoliopsida; Fabales; Fabaceae
Exons: 2
Source: RefSeq, a predicted model, not a curated record